GGUUUGGUGUACUUGGCCCGCCACGGCUACGUGUGUGAGUGCCGAGUCGCGCCUGCCAUCCUUCUAGAGAACGUUUCUACCCUUCACUGGGCCGGGAACGCCAUCUAGAUCUUUUACUUUGAAAAAAUUAGAGUGUUUAAAGCAGGCUUUUGCUAUGAAUACAUUAGCAUGGAAUAAUAAUUUAGGACUUCGGUUCUAUUUUGUUGGUUUCUAGGACUGAAGUA
RNAcentral lists this ribosomal RNA (224 nucleotides) under uncultured fungus. RNAcentral's name for it is "partial small subunit ribosomal RNA". The stretch from base 99 to 224 matches the Rfam family "Eukaryotic small subunit ribosomal RNA", at positions 737 to 864 of the family's 1831-position model. The record is from RNAcentral. Lineage: Eukaryota; Fungi.